GACGAACGCUGGCGGCGUGCUUAACACAUGCAAGUCGAGCGGUAAGGCCCUUUCGGGGGUACACGAGCGGCGAACGGGUGAGUAACACGUGGGUGACCUGCCCUCAGCUCUGGGAUAAGCCUGGGAAACCGGGUCUAAUACCGGAUAUGACCUCAUGACGCAUGUUGUGGGGUGGAAGCCUUGUGCGGCUGAGGAUGGGCCCGCGGCCUAUCAGCUUGUUGGUGGGGUGAUGGCCUACCAAGGCGACGACGGGUAGCCGGCCUGAGAGGGCGACCGGCCACACUGGGACUGAGACACGGCCCAGACUCCUACGGGAGGCAGCAGUGGGGAAUCUUGCGCAAUGGGCGAAAGCCUGACGCAGCGACGCCGCGUGAGGGAUGAC
This 382-nucleotide ribosomal RNA is filed under the name uncultured bacterium. RNAcentral describes it as "bacterial SSU rRNA". It matches the Rfam family "Bacterial small subunit ribosomal RNA", at positions 28 to 412 of the family's 1533-position model. The record is from RNAcentral.